Long non-coding RNA from Lolium rigidum, 2219 nucleotides. RefSeq lists it as uncharacterized. The record is from RefSeq and is a predicted model, not a curated record. The transcript has 6 exons. NCBI's taxonomy places the organism in Eukaryota, Viridiplantae, Streptophyta, Magnoliopsida, Poales, Poaceae.
GUUAUUUCAGUUAGCUCCUGAGCAUGCUGGCAUGUUGAUAGUACUCUGCAUUUCUGCUGUGCUGUUAUGUUUUAACUCGCUGAUGAUGUCUGGUUAUCAUUCUUAGUACUUCUCAUGCUAAAAAUGUCGCAGGCAAGGUCUGUUGGAGAUGGUUCGUUUUGACCAUGAAGUGAUUGAACCAACUCAUGUACUAGCAGUUGAGCAAUUUUUACAAUCUCCGUCCUGUGUGUGCAGGUGCGCAGAAGAAAUAUGUAAGUUGAGAUAAUGCAAAAAGUCCUAUCACAUGGGUCUUCUUACUGUUGUCUGGCUGAAGCUGGGGCUGCAAAAAGUCCUAUACACCGAAUUUCCCCGCCCCUCCGACGACCUCCUUCCCUCCGAGCCGCGGACAUCCAGAACCAUGGGGAUGAGCUGAUCCCUAGCUUCCGCCCCGGCCACAUGCUCCUCCCUUUUCUCCCCCGCCUGGAUACCUCCACCCCCUCCCAUGUCAUCACCUUCCAGCUCGUUGCCGACUGGUACGACUGCAGCGGGUCUCGCCGGGGGCGAAUACGAUCGCCCCCGCCAUCAUCGGCGUUGGAUCCAUCUUCUCCGAGGAUGUGAUAGUUUUGAGACUGGGCAGUUCUGCAUCCAUGUACGUGAUGUGGUUCAGGAGUGGACAGCGACGAGGAGAUGCAGCAGGUAAGAGAGAUGGGAGCCCGCUCUGCAUUGUCCAGCGCGUGGGGCGUCGAUGGGGACGGUUAUUCGGCAUUGCAAGGAUUGGGGGCAUGUAGAUGCAGCUUAUUGAAUGUCUAGGGAGGUUCUUAGCGAUCACUUCAUCUGAUGUACUUUCAGGUGAACCUACAAGGAAUGGUUAGGAAGUGCAUUAUGCUUGGGAGGCAUGUACGUCUUAUGCACGCAUAUUGGGUACAUCAUAGAGAUGGUAAACCAUCCAUUUGAUGCUCAGGCUGAUGUGACUGUUCUGGACAGCAGAUCGUCGCAUCCACAACAUCGCCUUGGCCCGGCGUGCACUGUUCGCUGCUUCAUGCUCUUCUCACUGAAGUUGUUCCUCUCUAGUGAACUCAAAGUGUUCUGGGAGGUGCUAGGCGAGCGGCAGUGUGGAGUUAAUCUCCUUCCUAAUAAUCGCUAAUCUCUCCUGGUGUUGAGAAAGGUUGGUGACUUCCUCUUCUUACUGUUAGAUGCAGCAACCACAAAACUCCAGUAUGGGAACCCUGAUGCUGUGCUCCUUGCUAAAUGCUAACCAUUGCAAAGAAGAAUGGGAAACACUUUGGUAAUUGACUGAAUACAUUCCUUUUUAAAUUACCUAACCAUAUACGUGCACCUCUGAUCUCAUAAGUUUCAUGCUUGGAGUUAGUUCUAUUGAACAACUAUAUAUUUUUUUCUCUUUUACACUUGGUUGGGGAGAUUAUCUUUAUGACACUAGCUCGACAAGAUUGACACUAGCUCAACAGAGAAGGUAUUUUGGGAUUUGACAUCCGACACUAGGAAGUUUAUCCAUGACACUUAAUCUGUAAGUUUGUAACAAUAGCUGGUGAAUGACCUUAGUGUAGGAUUAUGCAUGCACUCCUGAACUUUGUGUACUCAGCAAAUGGGAUAGAAAAAAAUUGUAAAAAGCAAUGCUGUCUGGUCUGUACCUGUUCCCACCAAAGUGGAAUGGCUGGAACAAUAAUAUCUGCUUUCUUUUAGGCAAUUUUCGCCCUGUUUAUGGGCAUUUAUUGCUCAUACCCAAACAACGCAGCACCAGAAUUGACUACAUGGUUUUGUAUUUUUAUGUUUGGACAGUACGAAAUACCUAUAUGACCUAAUGUCUUCCUUCUACCAUUUUAACAUCAUCGGUGCCAUUUAAGAAUUAAUAUUAAAAUCUAAUGUCUUCCUUUAACAAUUUUAAGAAGUGGUUGCCGUUUAUAAGAUUAAUAUUAAAAUAAUUGUGCACUCAGAUGGAAUGAUGUCUUCUUCUGUUAAUGUUUGGUCGAGUGUUUUUCUUUUUCUUUUUGAUCAAUCAUUUGUUCCUACAUUGGAUGAGAGCCUAUUGUUGUUAUCUUUGUCUUUUUACAUCAGACUCUGCUUUGAGAUUUAUUUUACAAAUAAAUGUUGUAAUAUCAGUUUUAAGUAAUCUGGUUAUUUCAGUUAGCUCCUGAGCAUGCUGGCAUGUUGAUAGUACUCUGCAUUUCUGCUGUGCUGGUAUGUUUUAACUCGCUGAUGAUGUCUGGUUAUCAUUCUUAGUA